RNAcentral lists this ribosomal RNA (253 nucleotides) under uncultured bacterium. Its description in RNAcentral is "partial 16S ribosomal RNA". It matches the Rfam family "Bacterial small subunit ribosomal RNA", at positions 524 to 776 of the family's 1533-position model. The record is from RNAcentral.
UACGGAGGGUGCAAGCGUUGUCCGGAUUUAUUGGGUUUAAAGGGUGCGUAGGCGGGUUAUUAAGUCAGUGGCGAAAGUCUGCGGCUCAACCGCAGGAGUGCCAUUGAUACUGGUAGUCUUGAGUACAGUAGAGGUAGGCGGAAGUUAUGGUGUAGCGGUGAAAUGCAUAGAUACCAUAAAGAACACCGAUAGCGUAGGCAGCUUACUAUGCUGUAACUGACGCUGAGGCACGAAAGCGUGGGGAUCGAACAGG